GGCUCGUCGGGCCACGGCGUGAAGCCGUCGGUCAGGACGACGACGAUCUCCGGCGGCUCGGGCCCGCGGCGAGCCC
This 76-nucleotide transfer RNA is filed under the name Dactylosporangium sucinum. RNAcentral describes it as "tRNA-Leu". The record is from RNAcentral. Lineage: Bacteria; Bacillati; Actinomycetota; Actinomycetes; Micromonosporales; Micromonosporaceae.